GCAAGUCGAACGCUAUUUAUAGAGUGGCGCACGGGUGAGUAACGCGUGGGUAACUGCCCUUCUGAGUGGGAUAACGUUUGGAAACGAACGCUAAUACCACAUACGCCCUACGGGGGAAAGGUCCGCCGCAGAAGGAGGUGCCCGCGUCCGAUUAGCUUGUUGGUGAGGUAAUGGCUCACCAAGGCUACGAUCGGUAGCCGGCCUGAGAGGGCGGAC
RNAcentral lists this ribosomal RNA (216 nucleotides) under uncultured bacterium. RNAcentral's name for it is "partial 16S ribosomal RNA". It matches the Rfam family "Bacterial small subunit ribosomal RNA", at positions 57 to 305 of the family's 1533-position model. The record is from RNAcentral.